This 435-nucleotide ribosomal RNA is filed under the name uncultured bacterium. RNAcentral describes it as "partial 16S ribosomal RNA". It matches the Rfam family "Bacterial small subunit ribosomal RNA", at positions 28 to 507 of the family's 1533-position model. The record is from RNAcentral.
GAUGAACGCUGGCGGUAUGCUUAACACAUGCAAGUCGAACGGACUCUUCGGAGUUAGUGGCGGACGGGUGAGUAACGCGUGAGAAUCUGGCUUUGGGUUCGGGACAACCACUGGAAACGGUGGCUAAUACCGGAUGUGCCGAGAGGUAAAAGAGAAAUUGCCUGAAGAUGAGCUCGCGUCUGAUUAGCUAGUUGGUGAGGUAAAGGCUCACCAAGGCAGCGAUCAGUAGCUGGUCUGAGAGGAUGACCAGCCACACUGGGACUGAGACACGGCCCAGACGCCUACGGGAGGCAGCAGUGGAGAAUUUUCCGCAAUGGGCGAAAGCCUGACGGAGCAAUACCGCGUGAGGGAAGAAGGCUCUUGGGUUGUAAACCUCUUUUCUUAGGGAAGAACAAAAUGACGGUACCUAAGGAAUCAGCAUCGGCUAACUCCGUG